This 326-nucleotide long non-coding RNA is filed under the name Lathyrus oleraceus (garden pea). Its description in RNAcentral is "Pisum sativum (pea) long non-coding RNA (PSAT_LNC036279)". Lineage: Eukaryota; Viridiplantae; Streptophyta; Magnoliopsida; Fabales; Fabaceae. The record is from RNAcentral.
UGGCCUCUUGUGUUUUAUGAGCAUGACAAAAAAUGAAUGUUUGCCUAGAUCUACAAUGGAAUUUCAUCAAUGUAGCGGGGUUUUCGUUACUUUUAGGUUUAUUGACUAAACCAAAAGUCAACAUACAAUUCGAGUCGCCACCGCACUUUUAUUUGUCCAAAGGAAAGGUGUCAUACCCCGAUUUUGGUCCUGAAUUUUUUUUCUUUUUUUCAUUUUUUAUUUGGCACUUGGCCUAAAGUUCAUUUGCAUACAUUCAUGACCAAAGGCAACCGUCUAUUCCCAAAUCCAUAUUUUGUGAUAAACAUUGGUUAUUAUUUAGCUUUUUG